RNAcentral lists this ribosomal RNA (433 nucleotides) under uncultured bacterium. Its description in RNAcentral is "partial 16S ribosomal RNA". It matches the Rfam family "Bacterial small subunit ribosomal RNA", at positions 29 to 507 of the family's 1533-position model. The record is from RNAcentral.
AACGAGCGCUGGCGGCAUGCCUAACACAUGCAAGUCGAACGAGACCUUCGGGUCUAGGGGCGCACGGGUUCGUAACGCGUGGGAACCGGCCCAUAGGGUCGGCAUAACUCCCCGAAAGGGGUGCUAAUACCGGAUAGUAGCUUCUGACGAAAGAUUUAUCGCCUUUGGUGGGUCCCUCGUUGGAUUAGCUAGUAGGUACGGUAAAAGCUUACCAAGGCGACGAUCCAUAGGUUGUCUGAGAGAAUGAUCAGCCACACUGGGACUGGGACACGGCCCAGACUCCUACGGGAGGCAGCAGUGGGGAAUAUUGCAACAUGGGCGGAAGCAUGAUCCAGCACGGCCGCGAGAGUGAUGAAGGCCUUAAGGUUGUAAAGCUCUUUUAACCGGGCUGAUAAUGACAGUACCGGGAGAAUAAGCCACGGCUAACUACGUG